CACGGGGGGGGCAAGCGUUGUUCGGAAUUACUGGGCGUAAAGGGUUCGUAGGUGGCCAACUAAGUCAGACGUGAAAUCCCUCAGCUUAACUGGGGAACUGCAUCUGAUACUGGUUGGCUUGAGUGCAGGAGAGGAACGCGGAAUUCCAGGUGUAGCGGUGAAAUGCGUAGAUAUCUGGAGGAACACCGGUGGCGAAGGCGGCGUUCUGGACUGCAACUGACACUGAGGAACGAAAGCCAGGGGAGCAAACGGG
This 253-nucleotide ribosomal RNA is filed under the name uncultured bacterium. Its description in RNAcentral is "partial 16S ribosomal RNA". It matches the Rfam family "Bacterial small subunit ribosomal RNA", at positions 524 to 776 of the family's 1533-position model. The record is from RNAcentral.